This is a non-coding RNA of Danio rerio (zebrafish), 1170 nucleotides long. The record is from RefSeq and is a predicted model, not a curated record. Lineage: Eukaryota; Metazoa; Chordata; Actinopteri; Cypriniformes; Danionidae.
ACUAGUCUGAGAUAUGCAGUCUUAGCUUGCAAGUCCAAGUUGACAUCCAGAUACUAUUGACAUUUUCUGUCAUUUCACUGACUUAUUUCUCUAUAUAUUAUUUCUUACACUACUUCAGACUAUUAAAAUUCCAAUAAAAGUCACUUUAUUAAACUGUAGAAUUGAAUUUUCAACAUCAAAAGUCGACUGGGCAGAGAUCAACAUCCCAUAAGGUAAUUCACAACCUGUAAUUAAGCGGAAAACACUUGUGAAUCACAAAAUAUGGACAAUGUUAAUUGAUAGACUUUUUUCAGGGUACUCUAAAUUCUUAAUUAAUCUAAUCUAAAUAUUUAAUUUAUUUAGUAAUUUAACAUUUUGAAUACUCUUGUUUAUUUAACCUGUUCGGAAGUGAUGAAGAUAUGCAGUUCACGAAGUGACCAGAAGGUGUCGGUGUAAACCUGCAGGAGAGCCAGAGACGCUUCAUUCACACACAUGACUGGAGCUUCUCUGCGUUUACUUCCCAUGUGCGUGCAACUGCAACUGACGCUGAGAGAUACACCUGCUUUUUAUUAGAGCCGUAAUCCAACUCCAGUCGCUCUUGAGGAAGCAGAGAAGAGAUAGAGGUGAAGGGGCCUCGUGCCCAGUGAGGAGCCCUGGCAGCGCUGCAGAACGGGAUAUUUAGGCUGUUAGAGCACCAGGAAGCUCUGAGUCCCAUUUUGGGUGGUGGUGAAGAUACAGCAGGUCCACAUCAACAUGAGACACAGGCAGCCUCUGUGACGGCCAGCUGCGCGUCUGGAAUACAAGUCAUCUAAUUACGUGGAAAAGAUGGCCACCGACCGCCAGCAAACAAACAGAGUCCCUCUCACCUGUCGCCUGACCUACUUUACCAUGGAAAACACUGCUGGGCUGCUGUAAAGUAUGUUAUUUUAUGGGCCGAAGCGGGUUUAUUUUAGUUAUACAAUUAGGGGACUUAAGGGACACGGCAUCGUAAAUCAGACUUUACCGUAGAUAUGUACUGGCUCAUUGGCCCAUUUUACCUUAGUCCAACUUAAUUGAAUAUGUUAACUUGAAGCUUAAAGAAAAGAUCGAAGAUGAAGAUAUUUAUCUAUGAAGAUAUUUAGCUGUAAAUUGAAUUCAUUUUUGUGGGUAUAUCUCAAAAGCUCUGUGAAAAAAAACAUAUUCCCCUGAAAG